CCGACACACGCUCUUCUUCAAUACAGUUCGGCUCUCUCACUCACUCUCUAUCUCUCUCUCUUUCUCAGCAGCUCGAUUCUCUCGUGAUCUCGCCUUCUUCGAUCCCAAAAAGACCCGUUAGAUAGUGUUCACUGAAGGUCUUGAUGAAAGCGCAAUCAAAUGGACCAAGCAGGGAACAGAAGCAGGAGCAGAAGAGCCACGAAUACAGUCUCCUUUAACGGGGAAAUCUUCGAGCGAACGGUUCCCAAAAUCUCUUCUUAAAUAUGGUGGCAAUGGUCUGAGUUCUCCUGUUUUGCCUCCAUUAAAGUUUCACUCUGGUCUGCUUACACCUCAUGGCCACGCCUUCGCUGCUUCAUCUGGCUUGAUCGAUGGCGAAAGUGAGGAAAGCAUUGAUUCAGUUUCGGAUGGCGAGGACGAGAAUGCACUGAUGGAGAGGUUUCUGUAUCAAAUAACUUGGGUUACUUAGAGAAGCCAAUCUCACAGUGCUAUGACGAGGAAGAAUUAUUUGGUUAUAAAGGGCUUAACAUUAAGCCUAAACCAGAAGGACGCAAUGGAAUUCUGAAAAGUGGACUUUCAAUUGAGAAUCUCACGGUUGAAGUACCAGGCAGUAGUAUGAGAAGUGUAAGUUGACAUGAAUGCAAGACCAAGACAAUGUCAGUAGAUAAUGAUGGAAGAAGUGUGAGCUCAAAUGAAUGGAAGACCAAGACUCUAGGAGCCUCUGAAAUCACUGAAAGACAAAGUACUAAGGCUAAAGGCUGCCCUGAUACACCAGAAUUCUUAUGAGAAGUGUGCCUAGCUCUUGGAAGUGCCUUUGGGUAGGUUCCCUUCUUUGUGCAAUCAAUAUGAAUUAUUGGCUUAUUCAUUCUGAAUUUCGCUUUUUUAUGUGAUUCCUAACCUGUUUCUUUGUAAUUGUUACACUCUUCCUGCAUCAUUUCUUCUCAUUGCCAGUGGUCUCAUUGAGCCUAGCUCUCGGAUUAUUGUCAUCGAUUUCUCUCCUUGUGUUUAGAUGUUGGUUUGGCUGCCGAGUCCAAAAGCGGAAAGUGGGCCUAUUUUUCU
Molecule: long non-coding RNA, 1056 nt
Organism: Prosopis cineraria
Lineage: Eukaryota; Viridiplantae; Streptophyta; Magnoliopsida; Fabales; Fabaceae
Exons: 3
Source: RefSeq, a predicted model, not a curated record